Zea mays is the source of this 2034-nucleotide RNA transcript. It is a transcript of the gene named hydroxymethylglutaryl-CoA synthase, with no coding region annotated. Lineage: Eukaryota; Viridiplantae; Streptophyta; Magnoliopsida; Poales; Poaceae. The transcript has 13 exons. The record is from RefSeq and is marked validated.
CACUCCCACCACGGCCCGGGCCACUGCACUGCGCCAUCCAAGGACGACUGGACGAGGAAGAAAAAGGAUUUCGAAAAAGCGACGCUGCCGGGUAUAUAUACGGCGCCGGCGCCGAGGAGAGAGGACCCCGGCCGAUCCCGCACCCCUGACUGUCAGCCGCGAUCCGCUCUUGUAGGCUCCCUCCCUCUCCGACCCGCGUCUCCCUCCUCCCACUCCACUGCUCCUGUUUUGCGUGCAGCGGCGGAGCAGGAGAGAUGGCGUCGGAGGCCAAGGACGUGGGCAUCCUCGCCAUGGACAUCUACUUCCCGCCCAACUGCGUGCUCCAGGAAGAGUUGGAAACACAUGAUGGCGUGAGCAAAGGGAAGUAUACCAUUGGGCUUGGGCAGGAAAGUAUGGCAUUUUGCACUGAAGUUGAGGAUGUUAUUUCGAUGAGCUUGACAGUGGUGAAGUCCCUCCUGAAAAAUUAUAACAUUGACCCAAUGUGCAUUGGACGUUUGGAAGUUGGCAGUGAAACAGUAAUAGACAAGAGCAAGUCUAUAAAGACAUGGCUGAUGCAGAUAUUUGAGGAAUCUGGCAAUACUGAUAUUGAAGGAGUUGACUCCUCGAAUGCAUGUUAUGGUGGAACAGCUGCAUUGUUUAAUUGUGUUAACUGGGUUGAAAGCAAGUCAUGGGAUGGUCGCUAUGGACUUGUUGUUUGCACAGACAGUGCGGUUUACGCUGAAGGUCCGGCUCGCCCUACUGGUGGUGCGGCUGCUAUUGCAAUGCUGAUUGGACCAAAUGCUCCUAUUUGUUUUGAAAGUAAAUAUAGAGGAUCUCAUAUGGCCCAUGUAUACGACUUUUACAAGCCCGAUCUUGCGAGUGAAUAUCCGGUGGUUGAUGGGAAGCUAUCACAAACAUGCUACCUCAUGGCAUUGGACUCCUGCUACAAUGUAUUUUGCAAAAAGUAUGAAAAACAUGAGGGGAAGCAGUUUUCAAUUUCUGAUGCAGAUUAUGUUGUGUUCCAUUCUCCAUACAACAAGCUUGUACAGAAAAGCUUCGCUCGUUUGUACUACAAUGAUUUCUUGAGAAACUGCAGCACGGUUGAUGGAGAGUCAAGGGAAAAAUUGGCACCCUAUGCAGGCUUGUCAUCUGAAGAAAGCUACCAGAGUCGCGACCUUGAAAAGGCAUCUCAGCAAGUCGCCAAGAAUCUGUACGAGACCAAGGUUCAGCCAACAACAUUGAUCCCAAAACAAGUUGGGAAUAUGUAUACAGCAUCACUCUACGCAGCUCUUGCAUCGGUUGUCCAUAGUAGGCAUGAAACUCUGUUUUUCCCCCCUGUGCUUUUGACAUGUCCAGGCAGGCCAGAGGAUUGUUAUGUUUUCGUAUGGCAGUGGGUUGACAUCAACAAUGUUCUCUUUCAUGAUUAAUGAAGGCCAUCACCCUUUCAGUCUGCUAAACAUCGCAAACAUACUGGAUAUUUCCAAGAAGCUGAAGGCAAGGCACGUGGUUCCCCCAGAGAAAUUUGUGGAGGCACUGAAACUGAUGGAGCACCGCUAUGGGGCAAGAGAUUUCGUGACGAAUCAAGAUACAAGUCUGCUAUCCGCAGGCACAUACUAUCUCACGCACGUUGACUCCAAGUACAGAAGGUUCUACGACGUGAAAGGUGACGGUGUCGCCACUGCAAUGUCCAACGGCCACUGAUCUUUCUUCUGCCCGAAGCUGCAACAAGUCAAAUAACAGAGGCAAGUGUCCUAAGCAUCCUUAGAUUAUUAUAUCUAUUAAGAGGGGAAGCUCGAGUUAUAGAUUAAUCUAUGCCCAGCUGUAAGGUUGUAAAGUUAGUUAGAGCUGCGCAUGCUUGUUUAGUAAAAGCUCUGCUGCUCUUCAGUUAUUUAGCGAAUCAAGCACACUGCUGGGCUAAUAAGAAUUGUAAACAAUAAUCUGCAGAAUCACUGGCUACAUCCAGGUUAUGCUGAUGAAUGCACGAUUUCAUGUUUAACACGAUCAAUGCAUCUGGUUACAUCCAGGUUAUGCUGAUGAAUGGACAUUUUGGUUCCA